GAUGAACGCUAGCGGCAGGCCUAACACAUGCAAGUCGAACGGUAACAGGAAUUAGCUUGCUAAUUUGCUGACGACCGGCGCACGGGUGCGUAACGCGUAUAGAACCUACCUUUUACUGAGGGAUAGCCUUUAGAAAUGAAGAUUAAUACCUCAUAGUAUUGCGAUUUGGCAUCAGAUUGUAAUUAAAGAUUUAUUGGUAAAAGAUGGCUAUGCGUCUUAUUAGCUAGAUGGUAAGGUAACGGCUUACCAUGGCAACGAUAAGUAGGGGCCCUGAGAGGGGGAUCCCCCACACUGGUACUGAGACACGGACCAGACUCCUACGGGAGGCAGCAGUGAGGAAUAUUGGACAAUGGACGAAAGUCUGAUCCAGCUAUGCCGCGUGCAGGAUGACGGCCCUAUGGGUUGUAAACUGCUUUUAUACAGGAAGAAAAACUCCGACGUGUCGGAACUUGACGGUACUGUAAGAAUAAGGAUCGGCUAACUCCGUGCCU
This 491-nucleotide ribosomal RNA is filed under the name uncultured bacterium. RNAcentral describes it as "bacterial SSU rRNA". It matches the Rfam family "Bacterial small subunit ribosomal RNA", at positions 28 to 510 of the family's 1533-position model. The record is from RNAcentral.